Molecule: long non-coding RNA, 4013 nt
Organism: Chrysemys picta bellii (western painted turtle)
Lineage: Eukaryota; Metazoa; Chordata; Testudines; Emydidae
Source: RefSeq, a predicted model, not a curated record
GGCUGGUCCUUGGCUGAGCCCUGCCCCGCCCGGGGUGCGGCUGCCGGGCAGGAGGAGGAAGCCGCAGCGGUUCCGGGCACAGAUCGCGUUGCCCGGAGCCUGCAGCCGCCGCCGGCAGAAGCGUCCGGCGGAGGGGCCGGACCGGACCGGACCGGAGGGGCGGCGCUGGGAAGAUCUGCAGCCGCCCAGAGAACUGAGCUGGGGCCGAGCCCGUUGGCCUGGGUCGGCGUGCCCUGUGGAUGGGCGUGGUACAGAUUUGCUGCUAGCACAGACUUAGCUCCCUCUGCCGUAGUUUGCCAGGUGGCUGGAGGCACCGCAGCAAGAGAGGACCUGUGAGAGCUCGUCUUGCCUUGGGGGAACAUGCAGCGCGGUGGCAUCACUGUUGAGAACCCCUACGCCAGCGUGAAUAUUCCGCGAGGUCAGCUCGAGAACAGCUUCAUUAAGCGCUACCUGGGGGAGGAGCAGCCCUCGCCCACUGUCAUUGUUAAUCCUGGGGCCGUGCCCACCUACCCAGCCCCAGAGCAGCUGAAUGGGGCCAGUAAAUCGGUGCCACUGGAUAGUUGGGAUGGUUCAAAAGUCCUGACGCGGGAGUCCUGGGCCCAGCCGUAUAACCCUUAUGCCAGCCUGAAGCUGCUGAACGGCGCUUCCUCAGCCUCGCUCUACACCAUCGAGCUAGACAAGCACCAGAAGAGUCCUGAGGUGGGCACGAACAGUGGCUGCUGCUGCUGUAAGUACUGCCCCUGCUGCCGGAAAUGCUGCUGUGUCGUCUCCUAACCCCACAAGCCCUGACCCCUGGCCACACCCAGGCUGUCGGCCUGAGCCAGCCUCCUUAAGGAGCUGGGAUCCUGCCGGUAGAACUGCAGCCAGGGGGCUGGGAUGGACAGCCCCUGAGCUAUGGUGCCCAUCCUAGCAGGAACUGUGGGGCGCCUCUGGGGGCGAGCGGAGCCAACGGCAGCCUUGCAGUCUCCUGAGACUCUCAGUGAUCUUUGGCUCUCUCGGGCCGUGGGGAGGGGGUGUGACUAUAUUUGCCCUGGUGGCAGGGCGGCUUUCUAGACCUUGUUUAUCCUACGGAAAGUGAGCUCAGGUGCCAUGGUGAUGGGCACGUAGCAGUGAUGUGCUGCCAGGAUCGUGGCCAGGCCUCGGGGGAGUUUCAAGACAUGCUGAUGAAGCCUGGAGUGCCUCGUGCAGUGCCCUGUGGUGGAAACCCGACCGCUUGCUCCCACUUACUGUCUGGCUGGGGAACAGUCCUGAUGCAACAGGCCGUGCAGCUGUGCUGACCCCCACGCAGACAAAGACAUGCCCUGGUUUCACCCAUUGGAGAAGCAAGAACCUGAGCUUGGGGGGGCCUGAGCAGUGUUUCAUGGGUGCUUGUGGAUUCUCACUGCCCCUCCCCGUGGCUGAGGCAUGCUGGGAACAGUCUCGUCUAGCUGCAAAGGCUGCGUGCCUCUUGAUCGUGCGGGGAAGUGGCCUUGCAAACCAAGGCCUUGUCUACACACAACAGUCAUGGUUCAUGUGGUACAAUUCUCUAGUGUGGAUGCAGCUAGACCGAGGGAAAGGUGCUCAGACUGGUCUAGCAUCUGGUAGGGGAAGGGAAUGAGCUCUACUGGUACGAAGCACCUGGAUCCUGCUCUAACUGCGUCCACGCUAGGACUUGGGCUGGUAGAACGGGGAAGGGAACGCUCACCCCUGACCCACACGGCUGAGAGGUACAAACUCAGUUUGCUAAGCAGGCUGGAAUGAGGAUCCUGCCAGUCCUUGCCUGCUCGCCCUCCGGACAAAAGAAGGAAACACACCCAGGGCAAACAAACAAACCAAGCAGCUUGGAGAAUGUGCUGGGCUCUGCUCUGGGGAUGUGCCAUGGCUGGACACACUGGCCUCUGGGUCUGAACUCACAGUGGGAGGAGACUGUUCUGGCACCUCACCCCCCUCGGUGCUGGCAGGAGCUGCUUUCCAGGGCUUGGGUGGCCUGCUGUCCCUGCAGCGCAGGCAGGGGCCGUGCCCUUGUACCCCCAGCUUGGUCUGGAGAGGGGGCAGCAGGCCAGCCCUGCUCUACGUGAGCAGCAGGGCCUGGCCAGUGCUCGGCUGUUGGUGUUAGUGCCAGUGCUGCUGUGGGACUAGUGCAGGCUGCAGAGGAGGGUUCAGAAUGAAAUGGGGAUGGGAGGGGAGGGGAAGGGAAGGAGUGGGACAAGGGGUGUGGAGUCCUCUAGGCCCCAGUCAGCUGUGCAGGACCUGCCAGACUCCAAGCCACUGGGGUUGUCAGAUGGCCAGGAAUAGGGUGUGAGCCCUGUGCUAGCGCUUACCCCAUUGCUAGACCUGCUGCAUCACUCCUCGAGAGCAGCCGGGCCACUGUCUCUGGGGCAGGCGCAGCAGGACGGGGCAGGGACCAUGCCCAGGGUCCUGUGUGCAGAAUCUCAGCUUACCCGGCUAGGAAGAUUCUAACCGUUGUGUAGGCUGGGUAGAAUUCAGCUUUUAUUUGUUUGUGAUCUCUACGGAGAGUAUCAAUGUUUAUUUUAAAGAAUAUUUUUAGUUUUAUUGAUUUAAAUUUUCACAGUAGGGGAAGUUAUUGGAGAGUCAGAAAAUGGAGGGUCGGACAAUUAUUUAAUGACCGUAGACGAUGAGAUUCAAAAAGUUAAAGGUUUAUAACCAUUAAAACACAAACUCUCGAAGUAUACAAAGGAAGUAGGCAAUGUAAAAAAAAUGCUGCUUUGAUAUAAGGCGAUCUGUAAAUUUGGGGUAUUCUCAAUGGAAACAGUUUUUGGUCAUUUGGGUGUGUAUGGUGAAAUCGAUGUUCAUGGAUAUUUACCGACAAAAGUCGAAUCCUUCCAACCCUACCUUGAUGAUUAUAAAGAAAACCUUCCCCGUGAGGGCUCGCUGUAAGACAGCCUGAAACAAUCGUUCUGAGAGGUGUGAAUGGCCCGGCCCACCCUCUUGAUGUGUGUUGACUCAAACCUAAUGAUGUCAGCAUUUGAACUAUUUCACUGCUGAUCACUGUAGCAGAAACUCCCGGCUCAUUUUUGCUCACUCUAACCCUAGCUGCCUCCCAGAUAUCCCCAGGUACCAAAAGCUCCCACUGUCUCCUGCCCAGCUGCCAGAACUUCCCCCUGCCAACAUCCAGCCCAGAACUCUGCAGCAGGGGACAGUGUCCGCUCCAUGGCCUGGAAUGUCACUGGGACGCUGGGCGUACAGUCCAGGGGGGUGGGGUUCCAUGGGUGGGACCAAGGAGCCAUGCUGCAGAGCUCCAGCUCGUUAUGGCCUUCACCCAAGUGCAUUGAGCCACCAUCGCCUGCAAGGAGUGACCCAGGAGCCCGUCUGUGCCUCUUGUCCCUCAGCUGCGUUGCUCCCCCCUCCAGGUGAUCUAGAGCAAUAGGCCAGUUGUACUCCAACUAGUGCCUCCAAAGGCCAAUUUGUCCCUUGCCAGGCGAGUGUGAACGCUCCGUGCAUCGUCGCUGGUCCCUGGAUCACAAGCUGCAGUGUAAAGAGCGUUGCAUGGGGUGUCCAGCCCCCAGCUCUGAUGGAAGCUGCAGUGCGUGCCUCCCAUAGACCCCCAGGUGAGGCCUGUGGCUUGCCUGCCCGGGUGCCAUGCAGCCGCGUAGCCAGGACUGGAUGCUGCUGCUGCCAGCUCUGCAUGGAUUCAAUGGGCAUUGUGUGCACAUGGCUACAGGACUGCCCUGGCUGGGACAGCGGCAGAGGUCCUGUCUAUAACAUGGCUGUGGGAGGGCCCAGUUCCCAGCAGGGCUCACCCUGGACCCGGUUAAAGCCCGGAUCUGGUUUGAUUGCACCUGAACUGUGCUAAAGCCUUGGGCUGUCCACGGUGCUGCUGCUACACAGAGCGCCUGUGCUGGGAGUGGGGUUCUGGUUCUGCCUGUGCUCUCAGACCCAGAGCGUCCCCGCCUGUGUGGAGCAGGCGAUUCAGGAUUUCACCGGCUGCUGAACAAUGCCUGGGCCCUGCGGAGAAAUCUGGCGUUUCCUGGGGCCCCUGUCACUGUUGCUGUGAAUAAAGUAAUUUGACCAGG